Molecule: ribosomal RNA, 385 nt
Filed under: uncultured bacterium
Lineage: Bacteria
Description: bacterial SSU rRNA
Rfam family: Bacterial small subunit ribosomal RNA
Source: RNAcentral
AAUGGGGGAAACCCUGAUCCAGCCAUGCCGCGUGCGUGAUGAAGGCCUUAGGGUUGUAAAGCGCUUUCGGCGGGGACGAUGAUGACGGUACCCGCAGAAGAAGCCCCGGCUAACUUCGUGCCAGCAGCCGCGGUAAUACGAAGGGGGCUAGCGUUGUUCGGAAUUACUGGGCGUAAAGGGCGCGUAGGCGGCCCUGCAAGUCAGAGGUGAAAGUCCUGGGCUCAACCUGGGGAUUGCCUUUGAGACUGCGGGGCUGGAGACCGGGAGAGGGUAGCGGAAUUCCCAGUGUAGAGGUGAAAUUCGUAGAUAUUGGGAAGAACACCAGUGGCGAAGGCGGCUACCUGGACCGGUUCUGACGCUGAGGCGCGAAAGCGUGGGGAGCAAA